RNAcentral lists this ribosomal RNA (800 nucleotides) under Rummeliibacillus sp. H1B-31. RNAcentral's name for it is "bacterial SSU rRNA". It matches the Rfam family "Bacterial small subunit ribosomal RNA", at positions 113 to 899 of the family's 1533-position model. Lineage: Bacteria; Bacillati; Bacillota; Bacilli; Caryophanales; Caryophanaceae. The record is from RNAcentral.
ACACGUGGGCAACCUGCCCUGUAGACUGGGAUAACUUCGGGAAACCGGAGCUAAUACCGGAUAAUCCAUUUCACCUCAUGGUGAAAUGUUAAAAGGCGCAUCUCGCGUCACUACAGGAUGGGCCCGCGGUGCAUUAGCUAGUUGGUGGGGUAACGGCCUACCAAGGCAACGAUGCAUAGCCGACCUGAGAGGGUGAUCGGCCACAUUGGGACUGAGACACGGCCCAAACUCCUACGGGAGGCAGCAGUAGGGAAUCUUCCACAAUGGACGAAAGUCUGAUGGAGCAACGCCGCGUGAGUGAUGAAGGUUUUCGGAUCGUAAAACUCUGUUGUAAGGGAAGAACAAGUACGUUAGGAAAUGAACGUACCUUGACGGUACCUUAUUAGAAAGCCACGGCUAACUACGUGCCAGCAGCCGCGGUAAUACGUAGGUGGCAAGCGUUGUCCGGAUUUAUUGGGCGUAAAGCGCGCGCAGGCGGUUUCUUAAGUCUGAUGUGAAAGCCCACGGCUUAACCGUGGAGGGUCAUUGGAAACUGGGAGACUUGAGUGCAGAAGAGGAAAGUGGAAUUCCAAGUGUAGCGGUGAAAUGCGUAGAGAUUUGGAGGAACACCAGUGGCGAAGGCGACUUUCUGGUCUGCAACUGACGCUGAGGCGCGAAAGCAUGGGGAGCAAACAGGAUUAGAUACCCUGGUAGUCCAUGCCGUAAACGAUGAGUGCUAAGUGUUAGGGGGUUUCCGCCCCUUAGUGCUGCAGCUAACGCAUUAAGCACUCCGCCUGGGGAGUACGACCGCAAGGUUGAAA